RNAcentral lists this small RNA (682 nucleotides) under Pan troglodytes (chimpanzee). Its description in RNAcentral is "retained intron". Lineage: Eukaryota; Metazoa; Chordata; Mammalia; Primates; Hominidae. The record is from RNAcentral.
GUUUUGGCCGCUUCAAGAUGGCGGUGCAGGAAUCGGCGGCUCAGUUGUCCAUGACCCUGAAGGUCCAGGAGUACCCGACCCUCAAGGUGCCCUACGAGACGCUGAACAAACGCUUUCGCGCCGCUCAGAAGAACAUUGACCGGGAGACCAGCCACGUCACCAUGGUGGUGGCCGAGCUGGAGAAGACGCUGAGCGGCUGCCCCGCCGUGGACUCCGUGGUCAGCCUGCUGGACGGCGUGGUGGAGAAGCUCAGCGUCCUCAAGAGGAAGGUUGGUCCCGCCCGGUGGUCCCUCUUCAGUCUGGGGCAUGGACACCCCUUUUGUCUCGAAAAUGAGUCCUAAGACAGGCAAGCUGCAAUGAUGGGAACGUGGGAGGUGCGGUUGGGGGCCCCCUUCCCUGCUGUCUGCCUUCUGGGGCCACUGUCGGCUGAGCAGGCCAGCUUCCUGUUCCUGUAGGGACCGUGUUGUCUUGCUCCAGGUGUGUCCAGAGUCCAGGCCACAGGGAGACCAGGAUGUAUAGCAGGUUGAUUGAUUUUUUUUUUUUGAGACAGAGUCCCACUGUGUCAUUCAGGCUGGAGUUCAGUGGUGCGAUCUCAGCUCACUGCAGCCUCCACCUCCCGGGUUCAGGCGAUUCUCCUGCCUCAGCCUCACGAGUAGCUGGGACUACAGGCGCCCACCACCAC